This 3559-nucleotide unclassified non-coding RNA is filed under the name Drosophila mojavensis. RNAcentral describes it as "GI18620". The record is from RNAcentral. Lineage: Eukaryota; Metazoa; Arthropoda; Insecta; Diptera; Drosophilidae.
UCUGUCAGUCGCCUCAGUCUGUCUAUGUGUGUGCGUUAGUUAGUCAGUUGUGCCUAUGCGCGUGUGUGUGCGAGUGUCUCGCUUCAUUUUGCCUUUGGUGUCAGUUGAAGAGAAAGAAAACGAAUAGCUCGUCGCAGCUGAGCAGAACGGAGCGGAGUAAACGGAAUAAAGUGUGCUUCAAGUCAAGUUCUAUGUGUUUGCCGGCAUUUUAAUGACGUCACGUCAAGCAGCGCAGUAACAGCCAUCAAGCAAAAGCAACAACAACUGCAAAGUCAGCAAAACCAGAAAGCAAGAAAAAUAAUAUCAAGUAAAAAGCCCGAAAUAAAAAUAAAAAAAAAAACGCGUUUCUUCUGCUGUCGCUCGCUCUCUACUGCCUCCCCCCGCACUAUCGCUGACCCGCUCUAAACCACACUCAGCUGCUCCGUGCGCGUGUGACUGUGUGUAAGUGUGUGCAAAAGUUACAAAUUCUAACAGCAAAUCAAACGAAAUUCGCAACAACAACAGCAACAACAGCGGAGAGAAUCGAAUCAAAUUGAAGCGCAACGCAUCGCUCGCAUCGCAUCGCAUCGCAUCAUCAGCUGCUUCUCAAGAUAAUGUAAAAUCAGCGUAUGCUCAAUAAAGAAAAGCUUAAAUACACACAAAAAUAAGAACAACAAAUUAAAUAUUAAAACAAAAACUGCUAAACUUACAAACAAUAUUCAAGUUAAAGCGUAUUUAUAUAUAAACGUUUGUUCGAAUCAAAAUUAAACUACAUAUAUACAACUCUUAGCCACGAUAGGCUUCAAGUACCCCAAGCUAUUAGCUAUUCCCAAGCUUUGUAAACAAUUAAAAAAAAAAAGAAAACAAUAUACAAAACAAGAACUCAUGCAAAGCGCUAAACAUCUAUGCUAAAUAUAUAUAUGUAUACCUUAUAUAUAUAGGUGCUGAUCUGUGCUAAGAGCUGUUUAUCAUAAAAGAAACAAAAAGUAACCCGAAACAAAACUUGUUGAAGCCAACGUCAUAAAGUAAAACGCGCAACAUUUCUAGUCGCCAGCUAAGCUAUCUAUAAAGUCCCCCAGCUAAAACAAAACUAUAGCUAUAAAUAUAUAUAUAUAUUCAUAUAUACAUAUACAAAAUACUGAAGAAUUGCUGCUGCGAUGGCCAACGUUGUUAAUAUGAACAGCCUGCUGAAUGGCAAGGACUCGCGCUGGCUGCAGCUGGAGGUCUGCCGCGAAUUUCAGCGCAACAAAUGUUCGCGCCAGGACACCGAAUGCAAGUUCGCCCAUCCGCCGGCCAAUGUUGAGGUGCAGAACGGCAAGGUUACCGCUUGCUAUGACAGUAUCAAGGCGACGCACCUCUUAGAGAUGGAUAACUACAAGGGUCGUUGUAAUCGUGACAAACCGCCGUGCAAAUACUUUCAUCCACCACAGCAUCUGAAGGAUCAGCUGUUGAUAAACGGACGCAAUCAUCUGGCACUCAAGAAUGCACUAAUGCAACAAAUGGGCAUGGCGCCCGGCCAGCAGGUCAUAUCGGGCCAAGUGCCAGCCGUGGCCGCAAAUCCCUACUUGACUGGCAUACCAGCCAAUACAUACAGUCCUUACUAUGCAACCGGACACUUAGUGCCUACUUUGCUGGGACCCGAUCCGACGGCCGUCGCCUCACAGCUGGGCCCGGUGGUGCCACAGACCGUGCAAGUGGCCCAACAGAAAAUUCCACGCUCCGACAGAUUAGAGGUCUGUCGCGAAUUCUUGCGCGGCGCCUGCAAACGGGCCGAGUCGGAAUGCCGGUUCGCGCAUCCGCAGGAGAGCGUCGCGCGGCACGACGAUGGUUCCAUAACGGUUUGCAUGGACGCCGUGAAGGGCAGAUGCGCACGUGACCCCUGCCGCUACUUUCAUCCCCCCCUGCACCUACAGGCACAAUUAAAAGCGGCCCAAACACGCGCCACCGCUGUCGCUGCUGCAGCUGCGAGCUCACCUCUUACGGCACACCAACAACUAAAUCAGCAUCAGCAGCAACUGCAGAACCACCUCCACAACAGCAACAAUAGCAACAGCAACAACAACAACAGCAACAACACCAUCCACACGGCCGGCGGCAUCACUGCUGGCGCAACAACAACAACACCAACAGCAACAACAACAACAAACAACGCUGCCGCUGCCGCUGCUGCUGCCGCCGCCGCCGCUGCCGCCGCUGUUAUGGGUCAUCACACACUGGAAGUGGGCAAGAAGCGGUCAGCGGAUCCUGAAAUGUUUCCACUGAUGGAUGUUAAAACGGUUGGUUCAUUUUACUAUGAAAACUUCCAAUUCUCUGGCAUGGUACCGUUUAAACGUCCAGCUGCCGAAAAGUCUGGCAUUCCAGUGUAUCAACCCGGUGCGACAACCUAUCAACAAUUAAUGCAGCCCUACGUGCCAGUGUCAUCAAACACUAAAAUACCGCCACUAAAUGCUUCCUGUGUUAUCUAUACCGAUGCCAGCGGCCAGGUACAGUCGCCGCCUUGGGCUGGCUAACAGCCUGUUGGCAGCAUGUUAAGCGGCUGUUAAUGCUAACACUUGACAUUUAAUUUAAUUUCUCUCACUCUCGCUCUUUCUUUAUAUUAGUUUUAAGUUUUGUUUCUGUAAAGACAACACACACACACACACACCUACAACCAAUGCCCAGACUAAAUUAAAAUAUUCAAUUGUAUUUUAUGUUUAUGUAAUCAACUAGAAAUACAAACACAAUUAGAGCAGCAAGUGUUUAAUAAUCCGCGAAAUUGUCAUAUUUAAAUAAUAAGUAAGAGAACUUUGAAACUAUUUUACGGCUUGCCGAAAUCCCGGUGCCCCACCUGUCCGAUGAGAAAGCAUCUUAGCAAUUAAGCAACUAUUAUAUAUAUAUAUAAACAUAUCUAUAUAACGACCUGCAAAUAUACAUACCUAUACCAAGAAUAGUGUUUAUGUCGGCUACUGUGCUACACAUCUCAACACACUGGCUGCGUGAAUUGGGUUAAUCAAAUUAAAUGCGCUGCCGCGCCCCAAGGGACAGCAGGGGACAGCGACGACAACAGCCAGACCAUAAAGACAACAGCAACAGCAACAGCAACAACAACGACAGCAACAACAAUAACGGGAACGACGAACAAAGUGUCGACGGCCAUUUUGAAGGCGUUGCCAACGUUGUCGACGAUGAUGUCAGCGCGCUGACAUGGACACACCUUUGAGUGUGUCGUAGCUGUUAGCAGCUGUUUGCACAACUGUCUGACCCAAUACGCCACGCCCACACACACACACACACACACACCCAAACACACACACACACAGACACACACAUAUCUACCACCUGUCGUCAAUAUUUGCCAAAUUGAAAAUAAAAUAAAAAAGAAACCAAUGAAAACAAUAGCAAAUAAAACUGUAUAAAACCUUAUAGACAAUGCCAAGCUAAUCCGUUAUCAAUAUUCUCUCUAUUUGAUACUCAUACAACAGCCCAGCCGGAACGGGGCGUUUUAUACACUCAGUGUCCAAUGCUAAUGAAUGGCACAUUUUACAUAAUUAGUGCCGCCUAUUAGGAUAUGUAACUGUUACUGCAUAAUUCAGCCCACUAG